This 233-nucleotide ribosomal RNA is filed under the name uncultured Candidatus Saccharibacteria bacterium. RNAcentral's name for it is "partial 16S ribosomal RNA". It matches the Rfam family "Bacterial small subunit ribosomal RNA", at positions 584 to 818 of the family's 1533-position model. The record is from RNAcentral. Lineage: Bacteria; Candidatus Saccharimonadota.
UAAGUCAGUAGUGAAGUGACGAGGCUCAACCUCGUGUCCAUUACUGAAACUGCUAAGCUAGAGAAUGAGAGAGGUCACUGGAAUUCCCUGUGUAGGAGUGAAAUCCGUAGAUAUAGGGAGGAACACCGAUGGCGUAGGCAGGUGACUGGCUCAUUUCUGACACUAAGGCACGAAAGCGUGGGAGCAAACGGGAUUAGAUACCCGGUAGUCCACGCCGUAAACUAUGGAUACUA